Mirounga angustirostris (Northern elephant seal) is the source of this 136-nucleotide small nuclear RNA. RefSeq annotates it as U4 spliceosomal RNA. NCBI's taxonomy places the organism in Eukaryota, Metazoa, Chordata, Mammalia, Carnivora, Phocidae. The transcript has a single exon. The record is from RefSeq and is a predicted model, not a curated record.
AGCUUUGCGCAGUGGCAGUAUUGUAGCCAAUGAGGUUUAUCCAAGGCGCGAUUAUUGCUAAUUGAAAGAACAAAACACCCCAGCGGCUAGGAUUUUGAUAGGAAUUGUAUUGAAUCUGUAAAUCUGUUUGAGAGUA